CCAUGAUCCUAUGCUGCCAAGAAAAGCCUCUAGCGAGCUCUUCGCGGCCCGUACCCCAAACCGACACAGGUGGUCAGGUAGAGAAUACCAAGGCGAUCGAGCAAACUAUGGUUAAGGAACUCGGCAAAAUACCUCCGUAACUUCGGGAGAAGGAGGGCCGGUUUUGGUGAUGAGAUUUACUCUCUGAGCUGAGGCCGGUCGCAGAGACCAGCGAGAAGCGACUGUUUACUAAAAACACAGGUCCGUGCGAAGUUGCAAAACGAUGUAUACGGACUGACGCCUGCCCGGUGCUGGAACGUUAAGGGGACGGGUUAGCACUUCGGUGCGAAGCUCAGAACUUAAGCGCCAGUAAACGGCGGUGGUAACUAUAACCAUCCUAAGGUAGCGAAAUUCCUUGUCGGGUAAGUUCCGACCUGCACGAAUGGCGUAACGACUUCUCGACUGUCUCAACCAUAGGCUCGGCGAAAUUGCACUACGAGUAAAGAUGCUCGUUACGCGCGGCAGGACGGAAAGACCCCGGGACCUUUACUAUAGUUUGAUAUUGGUGUUCGGUUCGGCUUGUGUAGGAUAGGUGGGAGACUUUGAAGCGGGCACGCCAGUGUUCGUGGAGUCAACGUUGAAAUACCACUCUGGUCGAAUUGGAUGUCUAACCUCGGUCCGUAAUCCGGAUCAGGGACAGUGUCUGAUGGGUAGUUUAACUGGGGCGGUUGCCUCCCAAAAAGUAACGGAGGCGCCCAAAGGUUCCCUCAGCCUGGUUGGCAAUCAGGUGUCGAGUGCAAGUGCACAAGGGAGCUUGACUGUGAGACAGACAUGUCGAGCAGGAGCGAAAGCUGGGACUAGUGAUCCGGCACCGGCAAGUGGAAGCGGUGUCGCUCAACGGAUAAAAGGUACCCCGGGGAUAACAGGCUGAUCUUCCCCAAGAGUCCAUAUCGACGGGAUGGUUUGGCACCUCGAUGUCGGCUCGUCGCAUCCUGGGGCUGGAGUCGGUCCCAAGGGUUGGGCGUUCGCCCAUUAAAGCGGUACGCGAGCUGGGUUUAGAACGUCGUGAGACAGUUCGGUCCCUAUCCGCCGCGCGCGCAGGAGAUUUGAGAAGGGCUGUCCUUAGUACGAGAGGACCGGGACGGACGAACCUCUGGUGUGCCAGUUGUUCCACCAGGAGCACUGCUGGUUGGCUACGUUCGGAAGGGAUAACCGCUGAAAGCAUCUAAGCGGGAAGCCUGCUUCAAGAUUAGAUCUCCCAUCCUUUAUGGAGUAAGGCCCCCGGCUAGACCACCGGGUUGAUAGGCCGGAAGUGGAAGCGUGGUAACACGUGGAGCUGACCGGUACUAAUAGGCCGAGGACUUUCUACC
Molecule: ribosomal RNA, 1349 nt
Filed under: metagenome
Description: bacterial LSU rRNA
Rfam family: Bacterial large subunit ribosomal RNA
Source: RNAcentral